GUGAACGUUACAAACUGUUGCCUCGGCGGGAUCUCUGCCCCGGGUGCGUCGCAGCCCCGGACCAAGGCGCCCGCCGGAGGACCAACCAAAACUCUUUUGUAUACCCCCUCGCGGGUUUUUAUAUAUCUGAGCCAUCUCGGCGCCUCUCGUAGGCGUUUCGAAAAUGAAUCAAAACUUUCAACAACGGAUCUCUUGGUUCUGGCAUCGAUGAAGAACGCAGCGAAAUGCGAUAAGUAAUGUGAAUUGCAGAAUUCAGUGAAUCAUCGAAUCUUUGAACGCACAUUGCGCCCGCCAGUAUUCUGGCGGGCAUGCCUGUCCGAGCGUCAUUUCAACCCUCGAACCCCUCCGGGGGGUCGGCGUUGGGGAUCGGCCCUUUACGGGGCCGGCCCCGAAAUACAGUGGCGGUCUCGCCGCAGCCUCUCCUGCGCAGUAGUUUGCACACUCGCAUCGGGAGCGCGGCGCGUCCAUUGCCGUAAAACACCCAACUUUCUGAAAUGUUGACCUCGGAUCAGGUAGGAAUACCCGCUGAACUUAAGCAUAUCAAUAAGCGGA
RNAcentral lists this ribosomal RNA (552 nucleotides) under Trichoderma spirale. RNAcentral describes it as "eukaryotic LSU rRNA". The stretch from base 173 to 326 matches the Rfam family "5.8S ribosomal RNA". The record is from RNAcentral. Lineage: Eukaryota; Fungi; Ascomycota; Sordariomycetes; Hypocreales; Hypocreaceae.